GACGAACUGCCCAAACGUUGUUCGGAAUCACUGGGCUUAAAGGGCGCGUAGGCGGCAGAUCAAGUCAGGGGUGAAAUCCGGCAGCUCAACUGUCGAAGUGCCUUUGAUACUGAUUUGCUCGAGGGAGAUAGGGGUCUGCGGAACUUCUGGUGGAGCGGUGAAAUGCGUUGAUAUCAGAAGGAACGCCGGUGGCGAAAGCGGCGGACUGGAUCUCUUCUGACGCUGAGGCGCGAAAGCUAGGGGAGCAAACGGG
This 253-nucleotide ribosomal RNA is filed under the name Gemmataceae bacterium. Its description in RNAcentral is "partial 16S ribosomal RNA". It matches the Rfam family "Bacterial small subunit ribosomal RNA", at positions 524 to 776 of the family's 1533-position model. Lineage: Bacteria; Pseudomonadati; Planctomycetota; Planctomycetia; Gemmatales; Gemmataceae. The record is from RNAcentral. RNAcentral also lists the same sequence under 2 other names.